RNAcentral lists this ribosomal RNA (420 nucleotides) under Salmonella enterica subsp. enterica serovar Infantis. RNAcentral's name for it is "bacterial SSU rRNA". It matches the Rfam family "Bacterial small subunit ribosomal RNA", at positions 1 to 417 of the family's 1533-position model. Lineage: Bacteria; Pseudomonadati; Pseudomonadota; Gammaproteobacteria; Enterobacterales; Enterobacteriaceae. RNAcentral also lists the same sequence under 1 other name. The record is from RNAcentral.
AAAUUGAAGAGUUUGAUCAUGGCUCAGAUUGAACGCUGGCGGCAGGCCUAACACAUGCAAGUCGAACGGUAACAGGAAGCAGCUUGCUGCUUCGCUGACGAGUGGCGGACGGGUGAGUAAUGUCUGGGAAACUGCCUGAUGGAGGGGGAUAACUACUGGAAACGGUGGCUAAUACCGCAUAACGUCGCAAGACCAAAGAGGGGGACCUUCGGGCCUCUUGCCAUCAGAUGUGCCCAGAUGGGAUUAGCUUGUUGGUGAGGUAACGGCUCACCAAGGCGACGAUCCCUAGCUGGUCUGAGAGGAUGACCAGCCACACUGGAACUGAGACACGGUCCAGACUCCUACGGGAGGCAGCAGUGGGGAAUAUUGCACAAUGGGCGCAAGCCUGAUGCAGCCAUGCCGCGUGUAUGAAGAAGGCCU